UUAAGCGACUAAGCGUACACGGUGGAUGCCCUGGCAGUCAGAGGCGAUGAAGGACGUGCUAAUCUGCGAUAAGCGUCGGUAAGGUGAUAUGAACCGUUAUAACCGGCGAUUUCCGAAUGGGGAAACCCAGUGUGAUUCGUCACACUAUCAUUAACUGAAUCCAUAGGUUAAUGAGGCGAACCGGGGGAACUGAAACAUCUAAGUACCCCGAGGAAAAGAAAUCAACCGAGAUUCCCCCAGUAGCGGCGAGCGAACGGGGAGGAGCCCAGAGCCUGAAUCAGUGUGUGUGUUAGUGGAAACGUCUGGAAAGGCGCGCGAUACAGGGUGACAGCCCCGUACACAAAAAUGCACAUGCUGUGAGCUCGAUGAGUAGGGCGGGACACGUGGUAUCCUGUCUGAAUAUGGGGGGACCAUCCUCCAAGGCUAAAUACUCCUGACUGACCGAUAGUGAACCAGUACCGUGAGGGAAAGGCGAAAAGAACCCCGGCGAGGGGAGUGAAAAAGAACCUGAAACCGUGUACGUACAAGCAGUGGGAGCACGCUUCGGCGUGUGACUGCGUACCUUUUGUAUAAUGGGUCAGCGACUUAUAUUCUGUAGCAAGGUUAACCGAAUAGGGGAGCCGAAGGGAAACCGAGUCUUAACUGGGCGUUAAGUUGCAGGGUAUAGACCCGAAACCCGGUGAUCUAGCCAUGGGCAGGUUGAAGGUUGGGUAACACUAACUGGAGGACCGAACCGACUAAUGUUGAAAAAUUAGCGGAUGACUUGUGGCUGGGGGUGAAAGGCCAAUCAAACCGGGAGAUAGCUGGUUCUCCCCGAAAGCUAUUUAGGUAGCGCCUCGUGAAUUCAUCUCCGGGGGUAGAGCACUGUUUCGGCAAGGGGGUCAUCCCGACUUACCAACCCGAUGCAAACUGCGAAUACCGGAGAAUGUUAUCACGGGAGACACACGGCGGGUGCUAACGUCCGUCGUGAAGAGGGAAACAACCCAGACCGCCAGCUAAGGUCCCAAAGUCAUGGUUAAGUGGGAAACGAUGUGGGAAGGCCCAGACAGCCAGGAUGUUGGCUUAGAAGCAGCCAUCAUUUAAAGAAAGCGUAAUAGCUCACUGGUCGAGUCGGCCUGCGCGGAAGAUGUAACGGGGCUAAACCAUGCACCGAAGCUGCGGCAGCGACACUGUGUGUUGUUGGGUAGGGGAGCGUUCUGUAAGCCUGNUGCUGGAGGUAUCAGAAGUGCGAAUGCUGACAUAAGUAACGAUAAAGCGGGUGAAAAGCCCGCUCGCCGGAAGACCAAGGGUUCCUGUCCAACGUUAAUCGGGGCAGGGUGAGUCGACCCCUAAGGCGAGGCCGAAAGGCGUAGUCGAUGGGAAACAGGUUAAUAUUCCUGUACUUGGUGUUACUGCGAAGGGGGGACGGAGAAGGCUAUGUUGGCCGGGCGACGGUUGUCCCGGUUUAAGCGUGUAGGCUGGUUUUCCAGGCAAAUCCGGAAAAUCAAGGCUGAGGCGUGAUGACGAGGCACUACGGUGCUGAAGCAACAAAUGCCCUGCUUCCAGGAAAAGCCUCUAAGCAUCAGGUAACAUCAAAUCGUACCCCAAACCGACACAGGUGGUCAGGUAGAGAAUACCAAGGCGCUUGAGAGAACUCGGGUGAAGGAACUAGGCAAAAUGGUGCCGUAACUUCGGGAGAAGGCACGCUGAUAUGUAGGUGAAGUCCCUCGCGGAUGGAGCUGAAAUCAGUCGAAGAUACCAGCUGGCUGCAACUGUUUAUUAAAAACACAGCACUGUGCAAACACGAAAGUGGACGUAUACGGUGUGACGCCUGCCCGGUGCCGGAAGGUUAAUUGAUGGGGUUAGCGGUAACGCGAAGCUCUUGAUCGAAGCCCCGGUAAACGGCGGCCGUAACUAUAACGGUCCUAAGGUAGCGAAAUUCCUUGUCGGGUAAGUUCCGACCUGCACGAAUGGCGUAAUGAUGGCCAGGCUGUCUCCACCCGAGACUCAGUGAAAUUGAACUCGCUGUGAAGAUGCAGUGUACCCGCGGCAAGACGGAAAGACCCCGUGAACCUUUACUAUAGCUUGACACUGAACAUUGAGCCUUGAUGUGUAGGAUAGGUGGGAGGCUUUGAAGUGUGGACGCCAGUCUGCAUGGAGCCGACCUUGAAAUACCACCCUUUAAUGUUUGAUGUUCUAACGUUGGCCCCUGAUCGGGGUUGCGGACAGUGUCUGGUGGGUAGUUUGACUGGGGCGGUCUCCUCCUAAAGAGUAACGGAGGAGCACGAAGGUUGGCUAAUCCUGGUCGGACAUCAGGAGGUUAGUGCAAUGGCAUAAGCCAGCUUGACUGCGAGCGUGACGGCGCGAGCAGGUGCGAAAGCAGGUCAUAGUGAUCCGGUGGUUCUGAAUGGAAGGGCCAUCGCUCAACGGAUAAAAGGUACUCCGGGGAUAACAGGCUGAUACCGCCCAAGAGUUCAUAUCGACGGCGGUGUUUGGCACCUCGAUGUCGGCUCAUCACAUCCUGGGGCUGAAGUAGGUCCCAAGGGUAUGGCUGUUCGCCAUUUAAAGUGGUACGCGAGCUGGGUUUAGAACGUCGUGAGACAGUUCGGUCCCUAUCUGCCGUGGGCGCUGGAGAACUGAGGGGGGCUGCUCCUAGUACGAGAGGACCGGAGUGGACGCAUCACUGGUGUUCGGGUUGUCAUGCCAAUGGCACUGCCCGGUAGCUAAAUGCGGAAGAGAUAAGUGCUGAAAGCAUCUAAGCACGAAACUUGCCCCGAGAUGAGUUCUCCCUGACCCUUUAAGGGUCCUGAAGGAACGUUGAAGACGACGACGUUGAUAGGCCGGGUGUGUAAGCGCAGCGAUGCGUUGAGCUAACCGGUACUAAUGAACCGUGAGGCUUAACCUU
This 2884-nucleotide ribosomal RNA is filed under the name Escherichia coli. RNAcentral's name for it is "23S ribosomal RNA". It matches the Rfam family "Bacterial large subunit ribosomal RNA". The record is from RNAcentral. Lineage: Bacteria; Pseudomonadati; Pseudomonadota; Gammaproteobacteria; Enterobacterales; Enterobacteriaceae.